This is a regulatory RNA element of Enterococcus aquimarinus, 129 nucleotides long. It matches the Rfam family "Ribosomal protein L10 leader". From Rfam's summary of the family: This family is a putative r-protein leader autoregulatory structure found in B. subtilis and other low-GC Gram-positive bacteria. It is located in the 5' untranslated regions of mRNAs encoding ribosomal proteins L10 and L12 (rplJ-rplL). NCBI's taxonomy places the organism in Bacteria, Bacillati, Bacillota, Bacilli, Lactobacillales, Enterococcaceae. The record is from Rfam.
GGUUAAAUAUUAACUGUACCGAAGACAGUAGGUGACACUAGUCAUAAUUCCUACCGAGGACGUUUAUUGAUGAGAACAUUCAAUAGUCCCUCUAUGUCUACGGUGGCAUAGGGCUUUUUGUAUUUAUAG